GGGCAUAGUAUUGCCUCAGUACGGCGAGUGAGCGGCAAAAGCUCAAAUUUUAAAGCUGGCACCUUCGGUGUCCGCGUUGUAAUUUUGUGAGGCAUCUCCGGGUAGGGCGCCGGCCUAAGUUCCUUGGAACAGGACGUCAUAGAGGGUGAGAAUCCCGUGCUUGGCUGGCUGUCCCCGUCCAUGUGAGGUGUCUUCGACGAGUCGAGUUGUUUGGGAAUGCAGCUCAAAAUGGGUGGUAAAUUUCAUCUAAAGCUAAAUAUUGGUGGGAGACCGAUAGCGCACAAGUAGAGUGAUCGAAAGAUGAAAAGCACUUUGAAAAUAGAGUUAAAAAGUACGUGAAAUUGUUGAAAGGGAAGCGCUUGAGACCAGACUUCGGUGGGGGGUGAUCAGCUGUCCUUCUGGGCGGUGCACUUGCUCCCCUCCGGGCCAGCAUCGGUUGGGGCGGCGGGAUAAAGAUCCCGGGAAUGUGGCUCCUUUCGGGGAGUGUUAUAGCCCGGGUGAAUGCCGCCAGCUCCGACCGAGGACCGCGCCUUCGGGCUAGGAUGCUUGGCAUAAUGGUCUUCAGCGACCCGUCUUGAAACCACGGACCA
RNAcentral lists this ribosomal RNA (590 nucleotides) under Morchella sp. RNAcentral describes it as "partial large subunit ribosomal RNA". It matches the Rfam family "Eukaryotic large subunit ribosomal RNA", at positions 66 to 668 of the family's 3401-position model. The record is from RNAcentral. Lineage: Eukaryota; Fungi; Ascomycota; Pezizomycetes; Pezizales; Morchellaceae.